GAUGAACGCUAGCUACAGGCUUAACACAUGCAAGUCGAGGGGAAACGGCAUUGAGUGCUUGCACUCUUUGGACGUCGACCGGCGCACGGGUGAGUAACGCGUAUCCAACCUUCCCAUUACUGUGGGAUAACCUGCCGAAAGGCAGACUAAUACCGCAUAGUCUUCGAUGACGGCAUCAGAUUUGAAGUAAAGAUUUAUCGGUAAUGGAUGGGGAUGCGUCUGAUUAGCUUGUUGGCGGGGUAACGGCCCACCAAGGCGACGAUCAGUAGGGGUUCUGAGAGGAAGGUCCCCCACAUUGGAACUGAGACACGGUCCAAACUCCUACGGGAGGCAGCAGUGAGGAAUAUUGGUCAAUGGACGGAAGUCUGAACCAGCCAAGUAGCGUGCAGGAUGACGGCCCUAUGGGUUGUAAACUGCUUUUGUAUGGGGAUAAAGUUAGGGACGUGUCCCUAUUUGCAGUACCAUACGAAA
Molecule: ribosomal RNA, 471 nt
Filed under: Prevotella melaninogenica
Lineage: Bacteria; Pseudomonadati; Bacteroidota; Bacteroidia; Bacteroidales; Prevotellaceae
Description: bacterial SSU rRNA
Rfam family: Bacterial small subunit ribosomal RNA
Source: RNAcentral